RNAcentral lists this transfer RNA (61 nucleotides) under Ornithodoros hermsi. RNAcentral's name for it is "tRNA-Thr". The record is from RNAcentral. Lineage: Eukaryota; Metazoa; Arthropoda; Arachnida; Ixodida; Argasidae.
GUUAUGAUAGUUUAAAAAAACAAAGGUUUUGUAAUCCUUAAUUGAUAUACUUCUCAUAACU